GAUGAAGAACGUAGUGAAAUGCGAUAAGUAAUGUGAAUUGCAGAAUUCAGUGAAUCAUCGAAUCUUUGAACGCACAUUGCGCCCCUUGGUAUUCCGAGGGGCAUGCCUGUUCGAGCGUCAUUAUAACCCCUCAAGCUCAGCUUGGUGUUGGGGCCUGCCGCACGGGCAGCCCUUAAAAUCAGUGGCGGUGCCAUCUGGCUCUAAGCGUAGUAAUUCUUCUCGCUAUAGAGUCCCGGUGGAUGCUUGCCAUUAACCCCCAAUUUUCUAUGGUUGACCUCGGAUCAGGUAGGGAUACCCGCUGAACUUAAGCAUAUCAAUAAGCGGAGGA
This 328-nucleotide unclassified non-coding RNA is filed under the name soil metagenome. RNAcentral describes it as "partial contains 5.8S ribosomal RNA, internal transcribed spacer 2, and large subunit ribosomal RNA". The stretch from base 1 to 120 matches the Rfam family "5.8S ribosomal RNA", at positions 35 to 154 of the family's 154-position model. The record is from RNAcentral.